UACAGAGGUGGCAAGCGUUGUUCGGAAUUACUGGGCGUAAAGGGCGCGUAGGUGGCCUUUUGAGUCAGACGUGAAAUCCCCAGGCUUAACUUGGGAACUGCGUCUGAUACUGGAAGGCUCGAGUUCGGGAGAGGGAUGUGGAAUUCCAGGUGUAGCGGUGAAAUGCGUAGAUAUCUGGAGGAACACCGGUGGCGAAGGCGGCAUCCUGGACCGAAACUGACACUGAGGCGCGAAAGCCAGGGGAGCAAACGGG
Molecule: ribosomal RNA, 253 nt
Filed under: uncultured bacterium
Lineage: Bacteria
Description: partial 16S ribosomal RNA
Rfam family: Bacterial small subunit ribosomal RNA
Source: RNAcentral